RNAcentral lists this long non-coding RNA (225 nucleotides) under Elaeis guineensis (African oil palm). Its description in RNAcentral is "long non-coding RNA (EGUI_LNC044063)". The record is from RNAcentral. Lineage: Eukaryota; Viridiplantae; Streptophyta; Magnoliopsida; Arecales; Arecaceae.
AGUAGGUUGAGGGGAAAAAGACCUCCAAUAGGAAGCGAGGUCGAGAGGAACCUCAUAUAAAUCGGGUGGAAGGAGAGUCCUCUCAACCAUCGAAGAGCUCUAGGCUAAGGAACCCUCCUUGGUGGUUUAACAACUAUACUCCCCUAUUUGUUCCUCGAGCCCAGAUCCUGAUGGAAAUUGAGAAUUAGGGAUAUCUUCAUCUACCUCAACCAAUGAAAGCCCCAC